Molecule: ribosomal RNA, 558 nt
Filed under: uncultured bacterium
Lineage: Bacteria
Description: bacterial SSU rRNA
Rfam family: Bacterial small subunit ribosomal RNA
Source: RNAcentral
AACGCUGGCGGCAGGCCUAACACAUGCAAGUCGAGCGCCGUAGCAAUACGGAGCGGCAGACGGGAGAGUAACACGUGGGAACGUGCCCUUCAGUUCGGAACAACCCAGGGAAACUUGGGCUAAUACCGGAUACGUCCGUAAGGAGAAAGAUUUAUCGCUGAAGGAUCGGCCCGCGUCUGAUUAGCUAGUUGGUGGGGUAAUGGCCCACCAAGGCGACGAUCAGUAGCUGGUCUGAGAGGAUGAUCAGCCUCACUGGGACUGAGACACGGCCCAGACUCCUACGGGAGGCAGCAGUGGGGAAUAUUGGACAAUGGGCGCAAGCCUGAUCCUGCCAUGCCGCGUGGGUGAUGAAGGCCUUAGGGUUGUAAAGCCCUUUCGGCGGGGAAGAUAAUGACGGUACCCGCAGAAGAAGCCCCGGCUAACUUCGUGCCAGCAGCCGCGGUAAUGCGAAGGGGGCUAGCGUUGCUCGGAAUCACUGGGCGUAAAGCGCACGUAGGCGGCCUUUUAAGUCAGGGGUGAAAUCCUGGAGCUCAACUCCAGAACUGCCUUUGAUACUGA